Molecule: ribosomal RNA, 885 nt
Filed under: uncultured bacterium
Lineage: Bacteria
Description: bacterial SSU rRNA
Rfam family: Bacterial small subunit ribosomal RNA
Source: RNAcentral
AGAGUUUGAUCAUGGCUCAGGACGAACGCUGGCGGCGUGCUUAAUACAUGCAAGUCAAGGAGAACAUUUCCUUCGGGAAAUUAUUAAACUGGCGAACGGGUGAGUAACGCGUAGGUAACCUGCCCUAGAGAUUGGGAUAACACCGGGAAACCGGUGCUAAUACCGGAUAAUGCAGCGGAUCCUUCGGGAUACAGUUGUUAAAGCGGGCUUCGGCUCGCACUUUAGGAUGGGCCUGCGUCCGAUUAGCUUGUUGGUAAGGUAACGGCUUACCAAGGCAAUGAUCGGUAGCUGGUCUGAGAGGAUGAUCAGCCACACUGGGAUUGAGAUACGGCCCAGACUCCUACGGGAGGCAGCAGUAGGGAAUUUUGCGCAAUGGGGGAAACCCUGACGCAGCAACGCCGCGUGACCGAUGAAGCUUCUAGGAGCGUAAAGGUCUGUCGUAAGGGAAGAAAAGUUUGGAUGUGAAUAAUAUUUGAACCUGACGGUACCUUACAAGAAAGCACCGGCUAACUUCGUGCCAGCAGCCGCGGUAAUACGAGGGGUGCAAGCGUUGUCCGGAAUCACUGGGCGUAAAGGGUCCGUAGGCGUCCCAACAAGUCAUUUGUUAAAUCCACCGGCUUAACCGGUGACCUGCAUUUGAAACUUUUGGGAUAGAGUAUAGGAGAGGAAAGUGGAAUUCCUGGUGUAGCGGUGACAUGCGUAGAUAUCAGGAGGAACACCAAUGGCGAAGGCAGCUUUCUGGCCUAUUACUGACGCUGAGGGACGAAAGCGUGGGGAGCGAACAGGAUUAGAUACCCUGGUAGUCCACGCCGUAAACGAUGAGUACUUGGUGUCGGGGGAUUCGACCCCUUCGGUACCGGGAGCUAACGCAUUAAGUACUCCGCC